RNAcentral lists this ribosomal RNA (430 nucleotides) under bacterium. Its description in RNAcentral is "partial 16S ribosomal RNA". It matches the Rfam family "Bacterial small subunit ribosomal RNA", at positions 355 to 777 of the family's 1533-position model. The record is from RNAcentral.
UAGGGAAUCUUCCACAAUGGACGCAAGUCUGAUGGAGCAACGCCGCGUGAGUGAAGAAGGUUUUCGGAUCGUAAAGCUCUGUUGUUGGUGAAGAAGGAUAGAGGCAGUAACUGGUCUUUAUUUGACGGUAAUCAACCAGAAAGUCACGGCUAACUACGUGCCAGCAGCCGCAGUAAUACGUAGGUGGCAAGCGUUGUCCGGAUUUAUUGGGCGUAAAGCGAGCGCAGGCGGAAUGAUAAGUCUGAUGUGAAAGCCCACGGCUCAACCGUGGAACUGCAUCGGAAACUGUCAUUCUUGAGUGCAGAAGAGGAGAGUGGAAUUCCAUGUGUAGCGGUGGAAUGCGUAGAUAUAUGGAAGAACACCAGUGGCGAAGGCGGCUCUCUGGUCUGCAACUGACGCUGAGGCUCGAAAGCAUGGGUAGCGAACAGGA